UGGGGGCCAAAGUAAGUCCCAGGAGGUUUCUGUGGGGUGAAAAAAGGUAUUUUAGGGUAUUAAAAGACAUUUUGGGGUGAUUUGGGGGGUGACUUGAGGCUUCUGGAGCCUCAGGGCUCACAUGGAUUUUUCCCACAAAAGAACAGGUUUUAGUGGUUUUUGGUGUUUUUUUACAGGGGUGGCACAAGACGGGAUCUGAUGGCUCCUCCUUCCCUUCUGUGCACUCUCCAGUGCCAGCUACCGGGGCUGGGAGUUCCAUGCUGUGAUCCCACAGAACGACAACGAGUCCCCCAGCACGUACCUGCAGCUGCUGCUCGCCUUCUAUGGCCCUGCUGACACCCAGGUGUCGGGGAUGCUCUGUGGCAGCUCCAUCACCCAGAACACCACCCUGAGACCAGAUGUCACUGUGCCCUUGCCCUUUCCUGCUACCCUGGAACUCACUGGAAGCCACACUUCCCAUAAAACCUUGGUGAUUGAGGCCAGUGCUGACAUCUCUGUGACGUCUGUCAGUACCAAUGGCUACACUGUGGAUGCCAUUGCCUUCCUACCUAUGGAGAGCCUGGGCAUCAGUCCCCACAGCAGUCUCCUGUGAGGAUUUGGUAUGCGAGAGGUGUGAGAUGGUGGAUGGACAACCAGAGUGCAUCCAGGAGACUUUCUCCACCUGUUGGCUCACUGGUGGGCCACACUACUGCAGUUUUGAUGAAAAACCUUUGAUUUCAUGGGAUCGCGGGCCUACACCAUGACCACCAUCUGCAAUCCUGAUCCCACCCUUCCUACUUCCUCUGUUGAGGUCAAAAAGGAGGAAAAAGGAGAACUCCAAAGUUUCCUCCAUUGGCUCCAUCACCAUCCAAGUCAACAACGUCACUGUCACUGCUGUCCAGUCAGAGAAUGGUAUGGUGAGGGUGAGCAACCACCGCUUGUGCCUCCCCAUUUUCCUCUGCCACAGGAAGGUCUGCAUCCACCAGAAGGGUAAAUCCAUGUUGAUUCAAUCAAAUUUCAAGCUGAAGGUCCUCUACAGCUGGGAUGAUCGUGUAGUGAUCAAACUUCCGGCUGCUCUUUCUAGAAAAGUCUGCGAAAUGUGUGGGAAAAACAAUGGGGAUCCCCAAGAUGACACUCUCUCUCCUGAUGGAAAACAAAUGUGAGAUACUGUGGAGUUUGGGUGGAGCUGGAAGGCGACCAGUGAGAGUGGCCACUGCCAGGACACCUGUGAUGGUGACUGUGGGCGGUGCAGAUGGGACCAGGUGGUGACAUACAAGGCAGAGACCUGGUGUGGGAAGUUGUCCCAACAUUCUGGGCCAUUCCAGUCGUGUCAUGACACUAUCAGUCCCAAUAUCUAUGUGAAGAACUGUAUCUAUGACCUGUGUGCCAAUGAGGGGCAUCGCAAUGUGCUGUGCUAUGCCUUCAAGAACUAUGCUGAUGACUGCCAGGAGAAGAGGAUCAAUGUUUCCCAUUGGAGGAAAGAGUUGGAAUGUUGUGAAUAGAGGAUGGUUGAGUGAAAAUACUCCUUGGGGUGGGUGGAGGCUAAUUGAUGUGGGACUAAAGACCCAUGGGAUCAUGGGUUGAGAAAGACCAUGGCAGAAGAUCCAAGCAGGAAAUCCAUGGAACUCCAAGGAGAUUCCAGAAAGUCCAUGUAGAAAGUCCACAAAGUUGGUGGAGUCUCUAGAAAGUCUGAGCAGGAAGUCUGCCGAGACUCCAGAAAGUCCAGGUAGAAGGCCUAGAAGGUCCAUGGAGACUACAUAAAAUCCAUGGAAUCUGCAGGGUAUCUGUGCAGAUAGUCAAAGUAGUCUGUCCCACUAUGUACUGCCCCACCUUGACCGCUGUCUCCCUCCCUGUCCAGCUCUCAUUUGCCCGCCCUACAGCACCUGAGGCCUUGCCUGCCUCCCUACCUGCAACAUCCCUGCUGUGUCAUCCAGCUGUGCCGCUGUCAGCACCUGCGUGGACACCUCCAUGUGCCACGAGGGCCUUGUCCUUGAUGCCGACACCUGAAUCGCCCCUUCUGAAUGUGGUUGUGU
Molecule: non-coding RNA, 2012 nt
Organism: Agelaius phoeniceus (red-winged blackbird)
Lineage: Eukaryota; Metazoa; Chordata; Aves; Passeriformes; Icteridae
Source: RefSeq, a predicted model, not a curated record